Molecule: ribosomal RNA, 406 nt
Filed under: Lactobacillus delbrueckii subsp. bulgaricus
Lineage: Bacteria; Bacillati; Bacillota; Bacilli; Lactobacillales; Lactobacillaceae
Description: bacterial SSU rRNA
Rfam family: Bacterial small subunit ribosomal RNA
Source: RNAcentral
GGGGUCAUGCGCAAGCUAGAGAUAGGUGGUUCCCUUCGGGGACGCAGAGACAGGUGGUGCAUGGCUGUCGUCAGCUCGUGUCGUGAGAUGUUGGGUUAAGUCCCGCAACGAGCGCAACCCUUGUCUUUAGUUGCCAUCAUUAAGUUGGGCACUCUAAAGAGACUGCCGGUGACAAACCGGAGGAAGGUGGGGAUGACGUCAAGUCAUCAUGCCCCUUAUGACCUGGGCUACACACGUGCUACAAUGGGCAGUACAACGAGAAGCGAACCCGCGAGGGUAAGCGGAUCUCUUAAAGCUGUUCUCAGUUCGGACUGCAGGCUGCAACUCGCCUGCACGAAGCUGGAAUCGCUAGUAAUCGCGGAUCAGCACGCCGCGGUGAAUACGUUCCCGGGUCUUGUACACACCG